CGUUAAUCGGAAUUACUGGGCGUAAAGCGUGCGCAGGCGGCUUUGCAAGACAGAUGUGAAAUCCCCGGGCUUAACCUGGGAACUGCAUUUGUGACUGCAUGGCUGGAGUGCGGCAGAGGGGGAUGGAAUUCCGCGUGUAGCAGUGAAAUGCGUAGAUAUGCGGAGGAACACCGAUGGCGAAGGCAAUCCCCUGGGCCUGCACUGACGCUCAUGCACGAAAGCGUGGGGAGCAAACAGG
Molecule: ribosomal RNA, 238 nt
Filed under: uncultured bacterium
Lineage: Bacteria
Description: partial 16S ribosomal RNA
Rfam family: Bacterial small subunit ribosomal RNA
Source: RNAcentral